CGAAGCGUGCGAUUGGAUUGCACGUCUAAGCAGUAAGGCUGAGUAUUAGGCAAAUCCGGUACUCAUUAAGGCUGAGCUGUGAUGGGGAGAAGACAUUGUGUCUUCGAGUCGUUGAUUUCACACUGCCGAGAAAAGCCUCUAGAUAGAAAAUAGGUGCCCGUACCGCAAACCGACACAGGUAGUCAAGAUGAGAAUUCUAAGGUGAGCGAGCGAACUCUCGUUAAGGAACUCGGCAAAAUGACCCCGUAACUUCGGGAGAAGGGGUGCUCUUUAGGGUUAACGCCCAGAAGAGCCGCAGUGAAUAGGCCCAAGCGACUGUUUAUCAAAAACACAGGUCUCUGCUAAACCGUAAGGUGAUGUAUAGGGGCUGACGCCUGCCCGGUGCUGGAAGGUUAAGAGGAGUGGUUAGCUUCUGCGAAGCUACGAAUCGAAGCCCCAGUAAACGGCGGCCGUAACUAUAACGGUCCUAAGGUAGCGAAAUUCCUUGUCGGGUAAGUUCCGACCCGCACGAAAGGCGUAACGAUUUGGGCACUGUCUCAACGAGAGACUCGGUGAAAUCAUAGUACCUGUGAAGAUGCAGGUUACCCGCGACAGGACGGAAAGACCCCGUGGAGCUUUACUGUAGCCUGAUAUUGAAAUUCGGCACAGCUUGUACAGGAUAGGUAGGAGCCUUUGAAACGUGAGCGCUAGCUUACGUGGAGGCGCUGG
RNAcentral lists this ribosomal RNA (708 nucleotides) under Staphylococcus aureus. Its description in RNAcentral is "partial 23S ribosomal RNA". It matches the Rfam family "Bacterial large subunit ribosomal RNA", at positions 1487 to 2192 of the family's 2925-position model. The record is from RNAcentral. Lineage: Bacteria; Bacillati; Bacillota; Bacilli; Caryophanales; Staphylococcaceae.